AGAGCGAACGCUGGCGGCAGGCCUAAUACAUGCAAGUCGAGCGGUCCCUUCGGGGGCAGCGGCGGACGGGUGAGUAACGCGUGGGAACGUGCCCUUUGGUACGGAACAACUGAGGGAAACUUCAGCUAAUACCGUAUGUGCCCUUCGGGGGAAAGAUUUAUCGCCAUUGGAGCGGCCCGCGUUGGAUUAGGGUAGUUGGUGAGGUAAAGGCUCACCAAGCCUACGAUCCAUAGCUGGUCUGAGAGGAUGAUCAGCCACACUGGGACUGAGACACGGCCCAGACUCCUACGGGAGGCAGCAGUAGGGAAUCUUGCGCAAUGGGCGAAAGCCUGACGCAGCCAUGCCGCGUGAAUGAUGAAGGUCUUAGGAUUGUAAAAUUCUUUCACCGGGGACAUAAUGACGGUACCCGAGAAGAAGCCCGGCUAACUCGUGCCAGCAGCCGC
RNAcentral lists this ribosomal RNA (443 nucleotides) under uncultured soil bacterium. RNAcentral describes it as "bacterial SSU rRNA". It matches the Rfam family "Bacterial small subunit ribosomal RNA", at positions 26 to 518 of the family's 1533-position model. The record is from RNAcentral.